Non-coding RNA from Pyrus x bretschneideri (Chinese white pear), 73 nucleotides. The record is from the annotation of a RefSeq genome assembly. Lineage: Eukaryota; Viridiplantae; Streptophyta; Magnoliopsida; Rosales; Rosaceae.
GCGGAUGUAGCUCAAAUGGUAGAGCGCCCGCUUUGCAUGCGGGAGGUGCAGGGUUCGAUCCCCUGCAUCUCCA